UACUGGUAAGGGUUUUCCUAGUAGUGAGACGGGGGUCAAGUGUUCCUCGGAAUGACUGGGCGUAAAGGGCACGUAGGCGGUGAAUCGAGUUGAAAGUGAAAGUCGCCAAAAAGUGGCGGAAUGCUCUCGAAACCAAUUCGCUUGAGUGAGACAGAGGAGAGUGGAAUUUCGUUUAUAGGGGUGAAAUUCGUAGAUCUACAAAGGAACACCAAAAGAGAAGGCAGCUCUCUGGGUCCCUACCGACGUUGCGGUGCGAAAGCAUGGGGAGCGAACAUGAUUAGAUACCCUAGUAGUCCAUGUCAUAAACGACGAGUGUUCGCCCUUGGUCUACGCGGAUCAGGGGCCCAGCUAACGAGUGAAACACUCCGCCUGGGGAGUACGGUCACAAGACCGAAACUCAAAGGAAUUGACGGGGGCCUACCUCGGUAUAAAAUUCUUUAUCAGCAGGUUCGCUUUUUCA
Molecule: non-coding RNA, 460 nt
Organism: Triticum aestivum (bread wheat)
Lineage: Eukaryota; Viridiplantae; Streptophyta; Magnoliopsida; Poales; Poaceae
Source: Rfam